AACGAACGCUGGCGGCAUGCCUAACACAUGCAAGUCGAACGAUCCCUUCGGGGAUAGUGGCGCACGGGUGCGUAACGCGUGGGAGCCUGCCCUUAGGUUCGGAAUAACUCAGAGAAAUUUGAGCUAAUACCGGAUAAUGUCUUCGGACCAAAGAUUUAUCGCCUUUGGAUGGGCCCGCGUUGGAUUAGCUAGUUGGUGGGGUAAAGGCCUACCAAGGCGACGAUCCAUAGCUGGUCUGAGAGGGUGAUCAGCCACACUGGGACUGAGACACGGCCCAGACUCCUACGGGAGGCAGCAGUGGGGAAUAUUGGACAAUGGGCGAAAGCCUGAUCCAGCAAUGCCGCGUGAGUGAUGAAGGCCUUAGGGUUGUAAAGCUCUUUUACCCGGGAUGAUAAUGACAGUACCGGGAGAAUAAGCCCCGGCUAACUCCGUG
This 433-nucleotide ribosomal RNA is filed under the name uncultured bacterium. Its description in RNAcentral is "partial 16S ribosomal RNA". It matches the Rfam family "Bacterial small subunit ribosomal RNA", at positions 29 to 507 of the family's 1533-position model. The record is from RNAcentral.